This 418-nucleotide unclassified non-coding RNA is filed under the name soil metagenome. Its description in RNAcentral is "partial contains 5.8S ribosomal RNA, internal transcribed spacer 2, and large subunit ribosomal RNA". The stretch from base 1 to 120 matches the Rfam family "5.8S ribosomal RNA", at positions 35 to 154 of the family's 154-position model. The record is from RNAcentral.
GAUGAAGAACGUAGCGAAAUGCGAUAAGUAAUGUGAAUUGCAGAAUUCAGUGAAUCAUCGAAUCUUUGAACGCAUCUUGCGCUCCUUGGUAUUCCUUGGAGCAUGCCUGUUUGAGUAUCAUGAGCAAAUCUCAAAGUCAAUUCCUUUUGUUGAUUCAAUUGGUUUUGCUUUGGACUUGGAGGCCUUGCAGAUUUCACAGUCUGCUCCUCUUAAAUGCAUUAGCUGGAUCUCAGUAAUUAUGCUUGGUUCCACUCGGCGUGAUAAGUAUCACUCGCUGAGGACACUGUUAAAAAGGUGGCCAGGAAAAUACUGAUUGAACCGCUUCUAACGGUCUAUUAAGUUAGACAAUUACCCUUAAGUCUGAUCUCAAAUCAGGUAGGACUACCCGCUGAACUUAAGCAUAUCAAUAAGCGGAGGA